Molecule: ribosomal RNA, 773 nt
Filed under: uncultured Neocallimastigales
Lineage: Eukaryota; Fungi; Neocallimastigomycota; Neocallimastigomycetes; Neocallimastigales
Description: partial large subunit ribosomal RNA
Rfam family: Eukaryotic large subunit ribosomal RNA
Source: RNAcentral
UAGUCUCGCACAGAUGCAUAUCAAUAAGCGGAGGAAAAGAAACUAACAAGGAUUCCCUUAGUAACGGCGAGUGAAGCGGGAAGAGCUCAAAUUUGAAAUCUUCAAGGUUUUACCUUGACGAAUUGUAGUUUAAAGAAGUGUUUUCUGUUGAAGUUUUGGUAAAAGUUCUUUGGAAUAGGACAUCAUAGAGGGUGAGAAUCCCGUAUUUGACCAUUACUUUCAGCUGUGUGAUACACUUUCAAAGAGUCGGAUUGUUUGGGAAUGCAGUCCAAAAUGGGUGGUAAAUUUCAUCUAAAGCUAAAUAUUGGCGAGAGACCGAUAGCGAACAAGUACCGUGAGGGAAAGAUGAAAAGAACUUUGAAAAGAGAGUUAAACAGUACGUGAAAUUGUCAAAAGGGAAGCGUUUGACACCAGUGUUGUUUUCUCGAAAAUCAAUUAAAAAGAGUUAGAUUUUGUUGUGUAUUGACCUUAACAGCUUGCAUUUCAAUUUUCUUGCUUUUUUUAAUGCACUUUUCGUUUAACAAGUCAACAUCAGUUUCUUUUGUUGUAAAAAGGUCAUUGGAAGGUGGCUUUCUUUUCGGAGAAAGUGUUUAUAGCCUUUGACUCCUGCAAUCGGAGAGACUGAGGUCUGCAGCGUAGAUCCUUCGGGGUUAGAUACAUUUGUGCUAAGUUAUAGCUUUUUAUAGACAACUUGUUGACUAUGAUUAGUCUUGUAGCUUACUCGCUUAUGCUAUUUUACCUACGCUUAGGAUGUUGAGCGCAUGUCUCUCUCU